CGUGGCCUACGGGGGACAGCAGUGAGGAAUAUUGGUCAAUGGGCGCGAGCCUGAACCAGCCAAGUCGCGUGAGGGAAGACGGUCCUAUGGAUUGUAAACCUCUUUUGUCGGGGAGCAAAAGACGCCACGUGUGGCGUUCCGAGAGUACCCGAAGAAAAAGCAUCGGCUAACUCCGUGCCAGCAGCCGCGGUAAUACGGAGGAUGAGAGCGUUAUCCGGAUUUAUUGGGUUUAAAGGGUGCGCAAGCGGAAGAUCAAGUCAGCGGUAAAAUUGAGAGGCUCAACCUCUUCGAGCCGUCGAUACUGG
This 305-nucleotide ribosomal RNA is filed under the name uncultured bacterium. RNAcentral's name for it is "bacterial SSU rRNA". It matches the Rfam family "Bacterial small subunit ribosomal RNA", at positions 333 to 636 of the family's 1533-position model. The record is from RNAcentral.